GCUUAUGGCCAUGCCACCCUGAGCACGCCUCAUCUGAUCUCCAGAAGCUAAGUAGGGUUGCCCUUGGUUAGUACUUGAAUAGGAGACUGCCUGGCAAUACCAACUGCUCCAAGCU
RNAcentral lists this ribosomal RNA (115 nucleotides) under Neolamprologus brichardi. Lineage: Eukaryota; Metazoa; Chordata; Actinopteri; Cichliformes; Cichlidae. The record is from RNAcentral.